Molecule: long non-coding RNA, 3359 nt
Filed under: Sus scrofa (pig)
Lineage: Eukaryota; Metazoa; Chordata; Mammalia; Artiodactyla; Suidae
Description: lncRNA (ENSSSCG00045003742.1)
Source: RNAcentral
AGACAGAAGGCGCAGGGAAGCCCCUCCGUGAUGGGGACAGAGGGGACUGACACCGCUGCCAGCCAGCAACGCCAAGGCACCCGGGAGCCCCAGCAGCUGAAAGGGGCUGAUGCCUCGCUGCCUCCAGGACUGUCGUUUCUCGUCACCCGGCAUGAGCCGCCCCGGGAAGCGAAGACGGAGGCGUGGACUGAGGUGCUUUGCCGUGACAUGUGUAACAAAGCAGACUCUGCCCAGGAGCAGAUGUGUUUGUGACCACUUGCCAUGUCCUUGCAGGGAAUGCCAAAGACUGUACUGUUGUCACCACAGCAUCCAAAGGACACGGAUUACAAAGCAGUACCUAAGAUGACUUAUAAGCCACUUUGGGAGCUGCCAUGCUCUGGCGCGGACCCCACGGGUGGGUGCUGCUGUCACGCUCCGCACAGUGCCCUGACCCACGUGUGCCUGCCCGAGUCACAUCGAGCAGUGGCCUGCAGCUGAGGGUCCGGCUGAGCGGAGGUGGCGCUGGAUGCGCCGUGUCCGUGUCCCGUCCCGGGAGUUCACAGUUUGCCUUGGGAGGUGAUCCGACUGGCCACAGUCUGGAGGCCUGGAGGGGCUGAGGCCAGGAGCAGCAUGAAGAGUCCGGGGAGCCAGGCCGCACCCAGUGGACAGGGCUCAGCUUGGGGACUGGAGGGCAGCUGCGACCUGGGCACUCUGGGUAGAGGGAGGGGCUCACUCCGAAACUGAGGCACUGACGGCCGGAACCCAGCCGGAACCCAGACUGGGACUCGAACCCACGGUUUUAAAUGAGAAUCCCUCACCCUGUGUCUGGACUCCCUGAGGUUCGGGUUCUUCAUGUCUCUGCGCAGAAGGAAUUCAGCGAGAGACAAAGUGAUGGGCACAAGGCAGAUUUAUUAGGAUAGGACGCUUGUGAGAGGCGCCAGCGGGCAGGCGAGGAGGCUCUGCCCCGGAGGGUCCGGUGGGCCGCAGUUUUAUCCUCCAGGGGAGUGGGGGUCGGAAAGGGCCGCCUCUUCCUUUCUGGGAGUCGCAGCUCCUCCUUAGCAUCGGGUCAGGUGUGUAUUCAAAUCAGCUGAGAGGUGGUCCUCAGACGCCUGCCCUGGGUCUGAAUCUGAAUGCAGCCCUCAUCCCAUCCCCAACCCCAUGCCUUGAGGCAGUUCUCCUCCCUCCACCAGCAAAGCAAGCCUGCCUUGUGCUGAUGGCUUUCCUGAACCACCAGUGGGCUCCUGGCAGGUUUCCCUCGGUAUCUGUGACCCCCCCUUUGAGGCGGCUACAACCACCUGUGCCUGCUCCAUCCCUAUCAACCCUGCCUUCUCUCCCCUCUGUCCCCUGGACCGGGUGCAGCUGGAGGGGGGGCGUGCUGUGACCCCUGGGGGUGAGCCACCCUCCCCAGAAGGUCUCAGGGAGCACAGCCCAGCUGUUGCCGCGUGCCCAGCAAGGUAUGUAGGGAGCAGGGGUCCCGUCUUGCCCUCACCGGUGCCUAGCGGUGGCGGUGGCAGAGGCCCCGGUGCUCAAACCAAAGGGGAGGCCUGCCUCAGAGAUGAGCGAGGGUCACAGCCUGGGGACAGCCACUCUGUCAGUGCCUCCCUCGUCACUUGCCCUGUGGCUCUUGGCAAAAAAUAUCUUUAAAACCAAAAAAGAUGUUCGCUGUGCGUCCCUGAUCAAGAUUCACAAGAAAGAGGAAAAGUGGAAAAAAAGUGACAUCCUGUUUUUCAGCCAGGUUUGGGGGGAGCUUGGGGGGGGGCGUCUGAGACAGGGCCCCAAGGGAUAAAGUGGGUGACAGUGGCAGCACAGAGAAGACAGAGGCUGCCUGGGUAUGAGUCUGGUCCAGCUGCCUCAUAGGGAAGGGGUCUGGAAUUCCCGGGGAGGCAGAAGGAAGCCGUGAGGGUCUCAGCGGGUCUUGGGGGGGGGGGCACUGCCAUCCAGCUCAGGAGCACGGGUCCUGGAGGUGGAGGAGGUCGGGCUGCGGGAUGGGGAGAGGGCAGGAGGGACGACGGAGGGGGUUUCUCUUCGGCGCGAACAUCUGCCAGGCUAAGGGGGAAAGGUGGCUGGCCACGUAGGGACCUGGACCAGGUUUUAGCAGCAGCGUGGCUAAACGCUGGGCGACGCCACAAAGACGCACAGACGGCCAGAAGCCUGUGAAAUACGCUCACCAUCGCCAGCCGUGAGCACUUCACUGGAAUCGAGAAUUUAAUAAAGAACUUGAGGAUGUUUGAAGGAGGACAUGCCCUGAUGAGUCGCCCUAAAAUUGUCACGUGUGUGGAUAAUUACGUAACUCAUGGUCACGUAAGGAAGUAAGACAUAAAAGGAACAUAAAAAUCAUCUAUAAUCCCCCCACCCAGGGCCAGUCAUGGAUUGCAUUUCAGGACCUGCACAACCAGAUGCUUUCAUGUGUGUAACUCAGGCGAGUCAGUUUACAGCCAAGAUUUUACUCCUUGGACUCAAUUAUACUUGAAAUCCUGUUCUUGGUUCUCAGCUUACUCCCUCCUCCCACCAAUCCCGGGUAAAUGUCAUUCAGGAUAAGAAACAUACAUUUUCAACCAUGUCCCGGGCAAAGGUGUGUGUGCGUGUGUUUCUCAGCCUGUCUCAUCAUGGGACGUUUAUAGACGGCCUCCGGUUUUUCAGUAUCAGAAACAAAGCUUCAACAAAUAUCUUCGCUGCUCAAGACAGUUACACUUUAUUAUUAUACCUUUCUUCUUUUUCCUUAGGAUAAGUUCCAGCACUUUCUGAUAAAGUAAUUCAAUUGUACAGGCGCAUGUGUGCGGCUCUUGAUCACGAGUUACCAGUCGCUCUGAUUUCUGCCUGUGGAAUUAAUCGUCCUUAGCGGCUCCUAUCGCUGGUGCCUGGCGGCCCGGCUCCCUCAGAUGUGAGCAACCUAAUCGGUGACCUCGCCAGCCCUCCGCCUCUCCCGUCACUCAUUCUGGGACAAACGGCUCUUGUUCUGCUUUUCAUUUGCAAAGACUUCCUGUUCCUCUGUUUUUUUUUUUUUUUUAAUCAGAGCUGAGCUUAAAUCGCUUAAACGGGGGUUUAACAAGAAACCUUGCAACGGCUUCUACUUUUAAAUACUCAGUGGCUCUUUCAAAAUAGGACGGUGUAAAUAAAGCUUAUGGCUGAGCACAGGCUAGGGACGCGUCCCUGGGGUUGCAGUUACUUUGCUUUUGCCGUGUCUUCAGUUUUGCAGACAAGCAAUUCAGUCUGCCAAUGGAACGCUUCCUUUUUGCAAUAAGGACAAUUUGGGGAAUUGUAAUUUAGCAAAUGGUAACUUCGUCAGUGUGCUUUGGUAACGAAUUUCCUUCUUGGGUACAGAGGGUGCCGUGUGACACUUCUGAACGUUAAGAACGGAGCCACCACCUACUCAGGGUCAC